AAGGGUAUAGCUUAGUGGUAAAGUACAUGCCUAGCAUGCACAAUGUCCUGGGUUCAAUUCCCAGCACCUCUG
This 72-nucleotide transfer RNA is filed under the name Camelus bactrianus (Bactrian camel). It matches the Rfam family "tRNA". Rfam says of the family: Transfer RNA (tRNA) molecules are approximately 80 nucleotides in length. Lineage: Eukaryota; Metazoa; Chordata; Mammalia; Artiodactyla; Camelidae. The record is from Rfam by way of RNAcentral. RNAcentral also lists the same sequence under 2 other names.